UUUCUAGUAACAAAUGUACAAAUAAGAAUAUUGUUAACAGUAAAAUUUAUAUUUCUGCUAAUCUGUACACAAUUUGUAGACUCACAGAUGAAGAGAAUUUUUUACGUCUAUUUUUUAUUUUAACAAAUUUAUGUCAUGAUGAUGAUGAUACUGUAAAAAUUAUUAAUAUAUUUAAUUGUGUUCAAAUUAGUUGUCGUUAUUCUAAAAUAAUAUUAUAUUACUUUUUUUUACCUUUAUUUAAUAAUUUUUUAAAAAAUGAAAAUGUAUAUAUUUUUUAUUAUGCUUUGAUCAACUUAUUUUCUGUUAUAUGCAUAUUAGAAGACACAGAUAUAAUUCAUCCAUAUUAUAUACGGAAAAUAAUAUUUUUUUUUAAUAACAUGUUUUCAUCUCAUUCUUUUACAUUAAAUUAUUUAUAUGAUAUAGCCAAAAGAAAAAAUAAUUAUUUUUUGUUGAAUACGUCACAAGUACAAACAGAUAGUCCCAUUUCAGGUACAGGUGUAAGUGUUGCUACUUCUGUUGCUACUACUGUAGAGGCUACAGAUGUGAAUAGAAAAAAAAUAAAUGUGACAUGUAAGGUUGAUGAAAUAGAUGAUGUAGGAACUGCAUGCAAUAUGUACGUAUUAGGUGAUGUUCAAGUGGUUAAUAAUGUCUACACAUCUACAAAAGAGCCCAAAAUAGGCAUAACAGUAAAUUCGAGUAUACCAGAUAAAGAAAAAAUAGAAGAAAAUUUAUUAGAUGCAAAUAUAAAUGAACUUUAUUUAAAUAGAUAUGAUGAAGUAGUAGAUAUAUUUACAUGUGAUUAUAAAAAAAAUGUAUUAUCUAAUGGUUUACAAACCAAUGAAACCAGUUGUGACAAAAUGAAACCAUGCCUAGUUGAACAUGACAAACGCGAGUGCACCACUGCUGAUUUUCUGAGUGUUGAAAAAAAUAAUUAUAUAAACAUAAACAUAAACAUAAAAAAUGAAAGUGAAAGUGAAAAUAAAAAUAUAAGUGAUAAAAACAUAAGUGAUAAAAACAUAAGUGAUAAAAACAUAAGUGAUAAAAAUGAACUACCAACAUGUACAAACUUGCUUGAUGAUAGCAAAUCACCAGGCCUAACAAAAAAGCUAAUGUACUCGAAACAUAUUACAUCACCAUUAGACCGAAGAAGGUUAUCAGUAUUAAAUUGUAAUAUACCAUCUUGUAUUUUUUUUAAUAAUAGUUAUAUUAAUAAUCUUAUAAUUAGUAAUAAUCAUUUUUGUUUAAGUGUUAAGCAGUUUUUUCAAACGCAUGGUUCUGAUUGUUCUGUUUGUGAUACUCCUGAUGGUAGUAUAAACAUGUGUGUUGAUGCAAACACUGUUGCAAUUGCUGAUACACAUGGACAAAACGAUUACACACAGGGUGAGUAUCCAUGCGGGAAAGACAUGAAUAAAAAAAAAAAAAACCCAAAUAAACGAGUGAGUAAUAAUAGUAGUAGUAAAAUUUUUUAUACGAACGCAAAGAAUAAAGAACAAAGUGAAUUUAAAGGAAAAAACAC
RNAcentral lists this long non-coding RNA (1516 nucleotides) under Piliocolobus tephrosceles (Ugandan red Colobus). Its description in RNAcentral is "lncRNA (ENSPTEG00000009482.1)". Lineage: Eukaryota; Metazoa; Chordata; Mammalia; Primates; Cercopithecidae. The record is from RNAcentral.